AAAAAAUGGACAACAUUUUGGAGGCCACUAACAACUUGGACAGUUGCAAAGAAUCCGUUCUUACAAAUUGCACAAACAUAUUUGAGUAAUCAAAGACAGAAAUAUGAUGAGAGCUGAAUAUGGUAGCAGUUCAAAAUCAUCUGGAGAAUAGUUAUACAGUUUCGUUCUAUAAAUAGUUGCUCGUUUACCAAUUGAAGUUGUGGCAAAAUUUUUAGGAUAUAGCUGUGCCAGCCUUAAAUAAAACUCACUCCUCAGAUUGGAAUAUCCAGCAUGUUCAACAGAACUGGUUUAGCCUGCUGCUGCAAGCAUAAAAGACAUCUCAAGCAUGAUUUUCCUGCAUGUGCCUUUUGUGGUCCCUCUCAGAAUAAUCAAGCCUCCCAGGCCUGUUUCUAUCAUCUGGAAAAUACUCAUGUCGCUUUCCCUCCAUUGGUUUGUCUGAGGGGCUACCUGCCUUUCUCUUCCUACUGUUUGACUUUGGUGACCGAUAACCCUUGUCGGCAUCAUCAUAUGGUUCCAGUUCCCCUUCUUCGACAUAAUCAAGCUCUUCUCGACGUGAAGACUUCCACUUUGACCCUUGGUGAUGUCCAUCCCCAGCCUCAUCUUGAAGCUUUGUGUGAUAUGUGUUCUCAUGCUCUGGCCUGUUUGAAGGCUUGGACCAGCUUUCCUUUCUUUCCCGUUUGUUUUUCUCGUUCCCAGCUGACAGUUCUAUUCCAUCCUCCAAUUCUCUCUCAAUGAGAUCAUCGUCAUCCAUAACAUCAGUUUUCUUGGUUACAUCCCCUUGAGCCUUCCUGCGUUUCUCCAAUGCUGCCUUGACCUUGUUCUCGACAGCUGCUUUAACCUUGUCUUUAUCUAUCUUUCUAACUUCUUGUGGUGACUGGCCAACUGCAUCAUCCAUGUUCUCCAGGGCUCUACCAUGGUACUUUUCCUUUGAUUCCCCUUUGUGCCUUGGUUCAGAUUUCCUAGUGUUCCCUUCCUGAUCAUCUUCAGUGUUACUCUCAGAACCAUACCUUGAUCUACUUUGUACCUCUGCUGUACUACCCUGAUAAGACACCUGCUCUCUUUCAUGGGUCUGUCUAUCAUUCAUCUCACCAUCCCCAAUACCAUCUGAAAAGUUAUGUUCAGCACUUCCAUAGUCAUUAUUGCUAUUUUGAGCUGUCCUUGUAAGGCCACUGUGAUUAUCAGCGUACGGUUGAUCAGGAGUUUCCCUAGAGGACGCAGGAUUGGAGCUUCCUGCAUUUGUAUUAGCACCUCCACCCACGGAGUUGCUGUUAUUUGCACCAUGCUCUUCUUGUGCAGCUGAAGAUUUUCCAGAAGGCCUUUGAUUUCCACCAGCACUUCCUUCUGCUUCACUAGCCUGAGGUGGUACUCUAUUUUGCUCAUACAAUUCUAGCAUUUGAUUGCUCACCUCCUCCAGUUGGCGUGGGGUAACAUCAAACUCCUGCCACCAAACCUUCUCGCCAUCAGAUGGGAGCUUUACUUUGAGAAACUUGGCUGCAAGGAAAAUGGCCCCUGCUGCAAUGUGAUGGGGCUUAAAUUGCAAGCAUAAGGACGUCCGAAGCCCAUCAUUCACAAAGUUCCAUGCAACUUGAGCUAGGGCAUUUUGAGCAACCUUGAAUUUCUUUAUUGCCUCAACAAGGGGUUUAUAUGGAUGAUGUACAUUAAGAUCAAAAGCAAGAGUUGCAAGAACAACCCUCUCUCCGGACAAAAUUAGUUCUUUUUGUUGUUCAUAUACUUCCUUUUGCUUGAUCCUCUGAAUAGCUUCAGAAUCCUUUUUAUGAAUGAUCUCAUAAGAAACAAGUAUAACAUCUUUCAGGGGACGAGGAGUUUCUUCAACCUUUCCUGCUAGGAACAUGCAUACUGUGGCAACGGUCCUCCUAUCAUUCCUUGAAUGAGAUUGCCGGAGAAAGAAUCGAUGACAAAAUAUAAUUGCCGUGGCAAUUGUUACCUGAGGCACUUUAAGCCGCAUGCCCAAAUCUUGUAGGAAGGUACAAUAUGACUUGCGUAGGUAAGUCUCUUUCUUCAAAUCUAUACCAUUGAGUCGCGAUGGGGAGUUCUCUUCAAUUUCCUUCCUGGAGAGAUACCAACGACCACCAUUCUCAUCUGGCCUUUCUUGAGAAGCCCUAAAACUGCCACCCUCAUAAGCUUCAUGAUGUGUUGAGGGGUCACCAGUCAUCAGACCAGCCAUCAUUGCCUCUUCAAUCCCCACGGAAGCUAUCAAUGAGUUAUGAAAUGGUCUGCUCGGCUUCGAGUAACUGAGGAGAGAUUCUACUUCAUCGCCGGCGAGAUUUGCAGGCGAGAAUCGGCGCCGAUGAGGGCAAUUUAGGAAAUUGACGAUAGGAGAAGGAGG
This 2347-nucleotide unclassified non-coding RNA is filed under the name Hevea brasiliensis (rubber tree). Lineage: Eukaryota; Viridiplantae; Streptophyta; Magnoliopsida; Malpighiales; Euphorbiaceae. The record is from RNAcentral.